CCUACGGGGGGCAGCAGUGAGGAAUAUUGGUCAAUGGCCGAGAGGCUGAACCAGCCAAGUCGCGUGAGGGAAGAAUGUCCUAUGGAUUGUAAACCUCUUUUGUCAGGGAGCAAAGUCACCCACGUGUGGGUGUUGGAGAGUACCUGAAGAAAAAGCAUCGGCUAACUCCGUGCCAGCAGCCGCGGUAAUACGGAGGAUGCGACCGUUAUCCGGAUUUAUUGGGGUUAAAGGGUGCGUAGGCGGGUUAUCAAGUCAGCGGUAAAAUCGUGGAGCUCAACUCCAUCCAGCCGUUGAAACUGGUUUUCUUGAGUGAGUGAGAAGUAUGCGGAAUGCGUGGUGUAGCGGUGAAAUGCAUAGAUAUCACGCAGAACUCCGAUUGCGAAGGCAGCAUACCGGCGCUCAACUGACGCUCAUGCACGAAAGUGUGGGUAUCGAACAGGAUUAGAUACCCGGGUAGUC
Molecule: ribosomal RNA, 459 nt
Filed under: uncultured bacterium
Lineage: Bacteria
Description: partial 16S ribosomal RNA
Rfam family: Bacterial small subunit ribosomal RNA
Source: RNAcentral